Long non-coding RNA from Anolis carolinensis (green anole), 2178 nucleotides. RefSeq lists it as uncharacterized. The record is from RefSeq and is a predicted model, not a curated record. The transcript is spliced from 2 exons. Lineage: Eukaryota; Metazoa; Chordata; Lepidosauria; Squamata; Anolidae.
UGAGCGAGGGAAGCGGGCGGCGGGAGGAGGAGGAGGGAGGAGAGGCCCAGCUGAGGGAACAGCCCCAGGUCUAGCUCUAUCUGGGGAAGGAUGUGUGCCUGCUGGUGCGCCUGCGCGGCUUUGGUGGUGACAGUCGCAUUGAUGAAAAACAACAGGAAAAACUCAGCCGCUAUCAGGACCUCAAGAUUGAACUUCAAAGACUCUGGCAGAAACCAGUGCAGGUGGUCCCGGUGGUGAUGGGCACAUUGGGUGCCGUGCCAAAAGAUCUCAGCCAGCAUUUGGAAACAAUAGACAUUGACAAAAUUACGAUCUGCCAACUGCAAAAGGCCACCCUGCUGGGAUCUGCACGCAUCAUCCGAAAAUACAUCACACAGUCCUAGACACUUGGGAAGUGUUCGACUUGUGGUUUUGUGAAACGAAAUCCAGCAUGUCUAUCUUGUUUGCUGUGUCAUACAACAUCGUUGUGUCAAUAAUAAUAAUAAUAAUAAAGAGGGUUGGAAGAAACCCUUUGGGCCAUUGAGUCCAACCCUCUUCUGCCUUUUUGCACCAAAAGCACAAGCAAAGCACCCCUGACAGAUGGCCUCUCCGCCUCAAUAAUAAUAAUAAUAAUAAUAAAAGAGAAGAGGAGAACCCUUGGGUCAUUUAGCCCAACCCCCUUCUGCCUUUGUGCUGUGGGGGCCGGAUAAAUGGCUUCGAUGGGCCACAUGUGGCCCCCGGGCCUUAGUUUGGGGACCCCUGAUCUAGAUUAUAUAACAGUGUUGAAGGGGGCUCAGAUACAGCUUUAUUUGAAUUCUGGUUUAUCAUUCAGUUUAUAUCAUUUUUAUGGGAAUCUGCCUUGCAGCACCAAAAACAGACGCUUUCUUUCCUGGCUUUUUGAGAGCCUUGCUUCGAUAGCUGCCAGCUGGUCUGAGAUCCUGCCAUUUCUAAAAUCCCAGGACUUGUCUCUGGGUUCAAAGGCCGCCCUGCCGCCCUCCUUUGGAACCACACUCUUCUCAUGGCAGAUGUCACAACUCUGCUGGCAAUGUGCAGACUGUGCUGCUCACCGCCACCCACGGCUGAAACUUAAUUAUAACUUCUCCCACUGUUUGAAAAAGGUUGCAUAUUACACAUAAGUCUAGAAACUUUGGUCAGAAAAUGGAUAAUCUGGAUGUAGAAACUGGAUUAGAUGGUAAUGUAGAUCCAUCCGGCCCAAAUCAAUUUGAAUCCAACGCUCUUAAACACCCCCAAGCCUUGUAAUCUAUAAUCUAUCUAUACACAUAGUGAAAAUAUGUAUGUAAGUGUGUGGCUGGAGUGUCCACUUACACAGACAAGCUCCCACUUCAACAAACAGCUAUAGCUCCCACUACUCAGAGACACCAAUGGCCCUCCUUCCAAUGACAUUGCAGGUUAUAGUGAAUGCCGUAAACAAAUCCAAGAGCCCUGACAACGUCCUCCACAAACACCAUACUGCCCACCACCCAAGUGAAGACUUUCAUAUGGAGACAGUUUCAUCCUAGAGUUUCUGUUUUUCCUCCACCACAGACAUCCCAGUGUUUCUGAUUCUUUCCAUUGGUGUGUAAUUUGCAUGACCUCACCCACUGCCUCUCCCUUAACCCUUUCCUAUUCUUUUCUAUGGCACAGAGCAAACAGAGGAAUUGAUUCACAACUGAACAUACUAGAGGUUUGGGGAGAAUUCACCAUGAUUUAUACGAGUUGUAGGAACUGGGAUGUAUAGUUCACCUGCAAUCUAAGAGCAGUCUGAACUCCACCAACGAUGGACCUGGAACUAACUUGGCACACAGAACCCACAUGACCAACAAAAAAUGCUGGAGGUCUUUGGCGGGAUUCAAAGGAGUUGAAGUUCACCUACAUCCAAUGAUGGAUCUGGACCAAACUUGGCACACAGAACCCCCAUGACUAAUUCAACCUACUGGAGAGGUUUGAGGGGACUGGCUUACCAUAGUGGGAGUUGUAGUUUACCCUACAGCCGGAGAGCACACUCAACCCCACCCAUGAUACAUCUAGAGCAGAUUUGCCCAAGAUCACAAACUUUAAAUAUUGAUGGAGUUUUUCAGGGUUAACCUGGCAUCAUGUCAGUUGAAGUUCACCCACAACCUUAUGCAUUCUGUACAAUUAAAAAAUGACUUUUUCAAAUAACCAGGGCAAUGCCGGGUACUCAUAAUAAAAGUUUGUAUUUUA